This 919-nucleotide ribosomal RNA is filed under the name uncultured bacterium. RNAcentral describes it as "bacterial SSU rRNA". It matches the Rfam family "Archaeal small subunit ribosomal RNA", at positions 1 to 922 of the family's 1478-position model. The record is from RNAcentral.
CGCUUUCCGGUUGAUCCUGCCGGAGGCUACUGCUAUUGGGAUUCGACUAAGCCAUGCGAGUCAAGGUGUCUUCGGACGCCGGCGUACGGCUCAGUAACACGUAGGUAACCUAACCUCAGGACUGAGAUAACCCCGGGAAACUGGGGCUAAUAUUAGAUAGAUAAAAGGUACUGGAAUGUUCUUUUAUCCAAAGCUUUUGCGCCUGAGGAUGGGCCUGCGUCCGAUUAGGUUGUUGGUGGGGUAAUGGCCCACCAAGCCUGCGAUCGGUACGGGCAGUGAGAGCUGAAGCCCGGAGUUGGGGACUGAGACAAGGCCCCAGGCCCUACGGGGCGCAGCAGGCGCGAAACCUCUGCAAUGCGGGAAACCGUGACAGGGGGAUCCCAAGUGCUCAUGCAUUGCAUGGGCUGUUCUUUGGUCUAAGUAACCAGAGGAGUAAGGGCUGGGCAAGACCGGUGCCAGCCGCCGCGGUAAUACCGGCAGCUCAAGUGGUAGCCGCGAUUAUUGGGCCUAAAGCGUUCGUAGCCGGAUAAGUAAGUCUUUGGUUAAAUCCUGCAACUCAACUGUGGGAAAUCUAGGGAUACUGCUUGUCUUGAGACCGGGAGAGGUUAGAGGUACUCCUAGGGUAGGGGUGAAAUCCUGUAAUCCUAGGGGGACCACCUGUGGCGAAGGCGUCUAACUGGAACGGGUCUGACGGUGAGGGACGAAACCUAGGGGAGCGAGCCGGAUUAGAUACCCGGGUAGUCCUAGGCGUAAAUGAUGCGAGUUAAGUGUGGGGGCAUCUACGAGAUGGCCCUGUGCUGUAGGGUAGCCGUUAAACUCGCCGCCUUGGGAGUACGGUCGCAAGGCUGAGACUUAAAGGAAUUGGCGGGGGAGCACCACAAGAGGUGGAGGCUGCGGUUCAAUUGGAUUCAACGCCGGA